AGAGUUUGAUCAUGGCUCAGAUUGAACGCUGGCGGCAUGCCUUACACAUGCAAGUCGAACGGCAGCACGGGAGCAAUCCUGGUGGCGAGUGGCGAACGGGUGAGUAAUAUAUCGGAACGUGCCCAGUCGUGGGGGAUAACGUAGCGAAAGCUACGCUAAUACCGCAUACGAUCUACGGAUGAAAGCGGGGGACUCGUAAGGGCCUCGCGCGAUUGGAGCGGCCGAUAUCAGAUUAGGUUGUUGGUGAGGUAAAAGCUCACCAAGCCUGCGAUCUGUAGCUGGUCUGAGAGGACGACCAGCCACACUGGAACUGAGACACGGUCCAGACUCCUACGGGAGGCAGCAGUGGGGAAUUUUGGACAAUGGACGCAAGUCUGAUCCAGCAAUGCCGCGUGCAGGACGAAGGCCUUCGGGUUGUAAACUGCUUUUGUACGGAACGAAACGGUCUUCUUUAAUACAGAGGGCUAAUGACGGUACCGUAAGAAUAGCCCCGAUUCGCC
This 500-nucleotide ribosomal RNA is filed under the name uncultured Rhodoferax sp. RNAcentral describes it as "bacterial SSU rRNA". It matches the Rfam family "Bacterial small subunit ribosomal RNA", at positions 8 to 502 of the family's 1533-position model. Lineage: Bacteria; Pseudomonadati; Pseudomonadota; Betaproteobacteria; Burkholderiales; Comamonadaceae. The record is from RNAcentral.